AGAGUUUGAUCAUGGCUCAGAACGUACGCUGGCGGCACGCCUAACACAUGCAAGUCGAACGAAGUAGCAAUACUUAGUGGCAGACGGGUGAGUAACAUGUAGGUAUCUGCCCUUUGGCCUGGAAUAACACGAGGAAACUUGUGCUAAUACCGGAUAAGUCUUUACGGAGAAAGCUUUAUGCACCAUUGGAUGAGCCUGCACUUGAUUAGUUUGUUGGUGGGGUAAUGGCCUACCAAGACUGUGAUCAAUAGCUGAUUUGAGAGGAUGAUCAGCCACAUUGGGACUGAGACACGGCCCAAACUCCUACGGGAGGCAGCAGUGGGGAAUCUUGCACAAUGGAGGAAACUCUGAUGCAGCGAUGCCGCGUGAGUGAAGAAGGCCCUUGGGUUGUAAAGCUCUUUCGUCGGGGAAGAAAAUGACUGUACCCGAAUAAGAAGGUCCGGCUAACUUCGUGCCAGCAGCCGCGGUAAUACGAAGGGACCUAGCGUAGUUCGGAAUUACUGGGCUUAAAGAGUUCGUAGGUUGUUGAAAUAGUUGGUGGUGAAAUCCCAGAGCUUAACUCUGGAACUGCCAUCAAAACUUUUCAGCUAGAGUAUGAUAGAGGAAAGCAGAAUUUCUAGUGUAGAGGUGAAAUUCGUAGAUAUUAGAAAGAAUACCAAAUGCGAAGGCAGCUUUCUGGAUCAUUACUGACACUGAGGAACGAAAGCAUGGGUAGCGAAGAGGAUUAGAUACCCUCGUAGUCCAUGCCGUAAACGAUGUGUGUUAGACGUUGGAAAUUUAUUUUCAGUGUCGCAGGGAAACCGAUAAACACACCGCCUGGGGAGUACGACCGCAAGGUUAAAACUCAAAUGAAUUGACGGGGACCCGCACAAGUAGUGGAGCAUGUGGUUUAAUUCGAAGAUACGCGCAGAACCUUACCAACACUUGACAUGUUCGUCGCGACUUUAAGAGAUUAAAGUUUUCGGUUCGGCCGGACGAAACACAGGUGCUGCAUGGCUGUCGUCAGCUCGUGUCGUGAGAUGUUGGGUUAAGUCCCGCAACGAGCGCAACCCUCACUUUUAGUUGCCAUCAUUAAGU
RNAcentral lists this ribosomal RNA (1077 nucleotides) under marine metagenome. Its description in RNAcentral is "bacterial SSU rRNA". It matches the Rfam family "Bacterial small subunit ribosomal RNA", at positions 8 to 1129 of the family's 1533-position model. The record is from RNAcentral.